ACUCUCUGGUUUCUCUUCAAUACGCUCAAGCCUUUCGCCUUUUACUAAAGACUUCCGUGGAGAGGAACAUUAUGAGUAUCAACCAAUUUUUGUAGCCCCGCUCACGUGGGGC
This is a small nuclear RNA of Hypomesus transpacificus, 112 nucleotides long. RefSeq annotates it as U5 spliceosomal RNA. NCBI's taxonomy places the organism in Eukaryota, Metazoa, Chordata, Actinopteri, Osmeriformes, Osmeridae. The record is from RefSeq and is a predicted model, not a curated record. The transcript has a single exon.